GAUAGGAAGAGGAAGAAAAGAGGGCCUAAGAGCGGUGGGCAUGGGAACAUGAUGGAAGGCGAAGCUCUUGGUUCCUCAUCUAACAUUGGAGGAGACCUUGGUUCGAGUUUUCCGAUGCCUCCCAUGCCUAUUGUUCUUUGGUGCUCCUUCCUCUUCCUUGCGGCU
This 165-nucleotide microRNA precursor is filed under the name Brachypodium distachyon (stiff brome). RNAcentral's name for it is "MIR2118 microRNA precursor family". It matches the Rfam family "MIR2118 microRNA precursor family". Lineage: Eukaryota; Viridiplantae; Streptophyta; Magnoliopsida; Poales; Poaceae. The record is from Rfam by way of RNAcentral.